This 320-nucleotide long non-coding RNA is filed under the name Ananas comosus (pineapple). Its description in RNAcentral is "long non-coding RNA (ACOM_LNC020020)". Lineage: Eukaryota; Viridiplantae; Streptophyta; Magnoliopsida; Poales; Bromeliaceae. The record is from RNAcentral.
CUACUGUUCUAUUAAUAGGAUAGUAGCACUUGUCCUAUCAAAUUGUUCUUGAUGAUAAAGAUUCCGAAUCGAUGAUCGGAGCCAUUGAAAUUGAUCUAGAGUAUUCGAAAUAUCUAGAAACUAAAUUUCAUAAAUUUUAAAAUUAUUUACAUGGUGAUCAAAGUGUGGAAAAAUCGACAAUUUUUGACGGCAUAUAUGAGCCGUUUGCUUGUUUAACGGUGUAGAGUAAUCCAAAUUGCUUGAAUUUUUGAUAGAAAAUUCUUUAUACUAUUUAGAUAAUAUUUGAUUACCCUGAUUAUGAAUUGAGAAAGUCUAACCUC